UGAAAAUUAACAAAAUUAUUUUCUGACUACCAGGAUACUUUUUUCCCUGUGAGCUGUUGAUUGCUCCUGUACUGUUGCUCCUGCUGGUCUCCAAGUCAUGGCUGAUUGCUUUCUGUGCAAUUUUGUUGGGCCAUAACCUGCCAUACUGUUGAGGAGGGAGACUCCCACACGUUCACACAUAGUUAAGAAGAGGUGAUUUCUAUGGUGAAGAACUAGGUGUUUUCUUCACAAAUGUGCUGAUGGGGAAAAUGGUAACACCUGAAGAUACAGAAGGCAGAACAAAAAACUCCUACGUGCUUCAGCUGUGGCUUCUACAAAGAUGCUGUGGAGGUCUGUCAGGAGGCUGCUGUGACUGGGGAGUUGAGGUGAGCUACCAAAAGCUGCCCAUGAAGUUUCUAUCUGGAAUGUGGGGAAAGCAGGUCAUGAGCCAGGGCCCUGGAGAAUUCAGGAUUCAGUGA
RNAcentral lists this long non-coding RNA (458 nucleotides) under Phasianus colchicus (ring-necked pheasant). RNAcentral describes it as "lncRNA (ENSPCLG00000006685.1)". Lineage: Eukaryota; Metazoa; Chordata; Aves; Galliformes; Phasianidae. The record is from RNAcentral.